GCCGAUGGGCACCUCGAAAGGAGGUGUUAAGGCACACCUCGCAGUGAGGUCCAGGUCCAAAGUCCUG
RNAcentral lists this non-coding RNA (67 nucleotides) under unclassified sequences. The record is from RNAcentral.